GUGAGGAAUAUUGGUCAAUGGGCGAGAGCCUGAACCAGCCAAGUCGCGUGAAGGAUGAAGGUUUUAUGAAUUGUAAACUUCUUUUGCAGGGGAAUAAAGUACGGUACGUGUACCGUUUUGUAUGUACUCUGCGAAUAAGGAUCGGCUAACUCCGUGCCAGCAGCCGCGGUAAUACGGAGGAUCCAAGCGUUAUCCGGAUUUAUUUGGUUUAAAGGGUGCGCAGGCGGGUUGAUAAGUCAGCGGUGAAAGUUUGCAGCUUAACUGUAAAAUUGCCGUUGAAACUGUCGAUCUUGAGUGCAAAUGAGGUAAGCGGAAUGUGUUGUGUAGCGGUGAAAUGCUUAGAUAUAACACAGAACUCCGAUUGCGAAGGCAGCUUACUAAGCUACAACUGACACUGAAGCACGAAAGCGUGGGGAUCAAACAGGAUUAGAAACCCUUGUAGUCC
RNAcentral lists this ribosomal RNA (445 nucleotides) under uncultured bacterium. RNAcentral describes it as "partial 16S ribosomal RNA". It matches the Rfam family "Bacterial small subunit ribosomal RNA", at positions 354 to 796 of the family's 1533-position model. The record is from RNAcentral.